Molecule: ribosomal RNA, 253 nt
Filed under: uncultured bacterium
Lineage: Bacteria
Description: partial 16S ribosomal RNA
Rfam family: Bacterial small subunit ribosomal RNA
Source: RNAcentral
UACGAAGGGGGCAAGCGUUGUUCGGAAUUACUGGGCGUAAAGGGCGCGUAGGCGGCUUACCAAGUCAGGCGUGAAAGCCCCGGGCUCAACCUGGGAAUUGCAUUCGAGACUGAAUAGCUAGGGUGCGGUAGAGGGAAGCGGAAUUUCCGGUGUAGCGGUGAAAUGCGUAGAUAUCGGAAGGAACAUCAGUGGCGAAAGCGGCUUCCUGGACCAGAACCGACGUUCAGGCACGAAAGCGUGGGGAGCAAACAGG